Non-coding RNA from Paramuricea clavata, 484 nucleotides. Lineage: Eukaryota; Metazoa; Cnidaria; Anthozoa; Malacalcyonacea; Plexauridae. The record is from the annotation of a GenBank genome assembly.
CUAGAGGUCCAGUAAGGGUCAUCUCCUAUUGAUCCAGUGUUAUUACAGGAGGAAACCUAAACUAAACUAAUUUUAUUUAUGCUGGAUAAGAGAAGCAAUGGUGCUACCACAUACCAUGCUCAACUGAUCUUUCAACAUCCUGUUCCCUAGUCCUGUUCCAUAUUUUGAGAACGAGACAUCGAGAUCUUCUUCAAAAUCAGUGAUAGAUGAAUCACGAAAGCUGUUAGCAUCGUGUAGAACAGCUUCGUCAGCCGCCUCUGUGGUCACGAUGAUUGGGGCACUCUCCUAAACACAAUUACAACUUAUACAUUUAUUCAUUUGUACAGUACGGUAGAAUGGCACUCAAAGCUCACAACUGAGAUCAUUUCCUAAUUUACACUCACAAAUCAGGGCCGACCUAACUCAGGGAUGGAUUGGGGGUGUGCAGGAUGUGCGCAGCGUGCUAGCGUUGGUAAAGGGUGUUACGGGAGUGUGGGCAGAAAAG